CGGCGUGCUUAACACAUGCAAGUCGAGCGGUAAGGCCUUUCGGGGUACACGAGCGGCGAACGGGUGAGUAACACGUGGGUGAUCUGCCCUGCACUUCGGGAUAAGCCUGGGAAACUGGGUCUAAUACCGGAUAUGACCUCCUAUCGCAUGGUGGGUGGUGGAAAGAUUUAUCGGUGCAGGAUGGGCCCGCGGCCUAUCAGCUUGUUGGUGGGGUAAUGGCCUACCAAGGCGACGACGGGUAGCCGACCUGAGAGGGUGACCGGCCACACUGGGACUGAGACACGGCCCAGACUCCUACGGGAGGCAGCAGUGGGGAAUAUUGCACAAUGGGCGAAAGCCUGAUGCAGCGACGCCGCGUGAGGGACGACGGCCUUCGGGUUGUAAACCUCUUUCAGCAGGGACGAAGCGCAAGUGACGGUACCUGCAGAAGAAGCACCGGCUAACUACGUGCCAGCAGCCGCGGUAAUACGUAGGGUGCAAGCGUUGUCCGGAAUUACUGGGCGUAAAGAGUUCGUAGGCGG
Molecule: ribosomal RNA, 521 nt
Filed under: bacterium S7S
Lineage: Bacteria
Description: bacterial SSU rRNA
Rfam family: Bacterial small subunit ribosomal RNA
Source: RNAcentral